AGUUAGCCGAGGCUUAUUCGUCAGGUACCGUCAGAUCUUCUUCCCUGACAAAAGAGGUUUACAACCCAAAAGCCUUCCUCCCUCACGCGGUCUUGCUCCGUCAGGCUUUCGCCCAUUGCGGAAAAUUCCCCAC
This 133-nucleotide ribosomal RNA is filed under the name uncultured bacterium. RNAcentral's name for it is "partial 16S ribosomal RNA". The record is from RNAcentral.